UUCCCCAUGAUCCCGACCCCGGGGUUGGUGCACUGAGUAACAGGCGACAGGGGGCAUCCCAUGCAGACAGGGAGCCCGGCUGGAGACAGAACAGAUCCGGAGUAGCCAGGGCGCCGGCUGGACAGACAAUGGCUGCAUCUCCGUGCCUGGGUGAUGCCGGCAGGUCC
This is a long non-coding RNA of Dermochelys coriacea (leatherback sea turtle), 167 nucleotides long. RefSeq lists it as uncharacterized. The transcript has 3 exons. The record is from RefSeq and is a predicted model, not a curated record. Lineage: Eukaryota; Metazoa; Chordata; Testudines; Dermochelyidae.